GACGAACGCUGGCGGCGUGCUUAACACAUGCAAGUCGAACGGAAAGGCCCUGCUUUUGUGGGGUGCUCGAGUGGCGAACGGGUGAGUAACACGUGAGUAACCUGCCCUUGACUUUGGGAUAACUUCAGGAAACUGGGGCUAAUACCGGAUAGGAGCUCCUGCUGCAUGGUGGGGGUUGGAAAGUUUCGGCGGUUGGGGAUGGACUCGCGGCUUAUCAGCUUGUUGGUGGGGUAGUGGCUUACCCAGGCUUUGACGGGUAGCCGGCCUGAGAGGGUGACCGGCCACAUUGGGACUGAGAUAGGGACCAGACUCCUACGGGAGGCAGCAGUGGGGAAUAUUGCACAAUGGGCGGAAGCCUGAUGCAGCAACGCCGCGUGCGGGAUGACGGCCUUCGGGUUGUAAACCGCUUUCGCCUGUGACGAAGCGUGAGUGACGGUAAUGGGUAAAGAAGCACCGGCUAACUACGUG
Molecule: ribosomal RNA, 468 nt
Filed under: uncultured bacterium
Lineage: Bacteria
Description: partial 16S ribosomal RNA
Rfam family: Bacterial small subunit ribosomal RNA
Source: RNAcentral